UUGCCUACGGGAGGCAGCAGUAGGGAAUUUUCGUCAAUGGGCGCAAGCCUGAACGAGCGAUGCCGCGUGAGUGAAGAAGGCCUUCGGGUCGUAAAGCUCUGUUGCGGGGGAAAAAAGGCAGCAUCAGGAAAUGGGUGCUGACUGAUGGUGCCCCUCCAGAAAGUCACGGCUAACUACGUGCCAGCAGCCGCGGUAAUACAUAGGUGGCGAGCGUUAUCCGGAAUGAUUGGGCGUAAAGGGUGCGCAGGCGGGCCUGCACGUCUGGAGUGAAACUC
Molecule: ribosomal RNA, 275 nt
Filed under: uncultured bacterium
Lineage: Bacteria
Description: partial 16S ribosomal RNA
Rfam family: Bacterial small subunit ribosomal RNA
Source: RNAcentral